UGGGAAUUUUGGACAAUGGGCGAAAGCCUGAUCCAGCCAUGCCGCGUGCAGGAUGAAGGCCUUCGGGUUGUAAACUGCUUUUGUACGGAACGAAAAGACUCUGGUUAAUACCUGGGGUCCAUGACGGUACCGUAAGAAUAAGCACCGGCUAACUACGUGCCAGCAGCCGCGGUAAUACGUAGGGUGCAAGCGUUAAUCGGAAUUACUGGGCGUAAAGCGUGCGCAGGCGGUUAUAUAAGACAGAUGUGAAAUCCCCGGGCUCAACCUGGGAACUGCAUUUGUGACUGUAUAGCUAGAGUACGGCAGAGGGGGAUGGAAUUCCGCGUGUAGCAGUGAAAUGCGUAGAUAUGCGGAGGAACACCGAUGGCGAAGGCAAUCCCCUGGGCCUGUACUGACGCUCAUGCACGAAAGCGUGGGGAGCAAACAGGAUUAGAUACCCUGGUAGUCCACGCCCUAAACGAUGUCAACUGGUUGUUGGGUCUUCACUGACUCAGUAACGAAGCUAACGCGUGAAGUUGACCGCCU
This 525-nucleotide ribosomal RNA is filed under the name uncultured bacterium. RNAcentral describes it as "partial 16S ribosomal RNA". It matches the Rfam family "Bacterial small subunit ribosomal RNA", at positions 356 to 874 of the family's 1533-position model. The record is from RNAcentral.